Molecule: transfer RNA, 73 nt
Filed under: Streptococcus pneumoniae GA07228
Lineage: Bacteria; Bacillati; Bacillota; Bacilli; Lactobacillales; Streptococcaceae
Description: tRNA-Ala
Rfam family: tRNA
About the family: Transfer RNA (tRNA) molecules are approximately 80 nucleotides in length.
Source: RNAcentral
GGGGCCUUAGCUCAGCUGGGAGAGCGCCUGCUUUGCACGCAGGAGGUCAGCGGUUCGAUCACGCUAGGCUCCA